RNAcentral lists this unclassified non-coding RNA (364 nucleotides) under uncultured bacterium. RNAcentral's name for it is "contains 16S-23S intergenic spacer region". The record is from RNAcentral.
UCCCGGUUGGCCCGGGCAGUCUCGCGUGAAAAAUUCAACACACGACAAGGGUUUCGCUCGUUGAUGGACUUAACCAAACAUCUCACGACACGAGCUGAGGACGGCCAUGCAACACCUGUCACCUGGUUCCCGAAGGCACCCCUCUGUUUCCAGAGGGUUCCAGGGAUGUCAAGCCUUGGUAAGGUUCUUCGCGUAUCGUCGAAUUAAACCACAUGCUCCACCGCUUGUGCGGGUCCCCGUCAAUUCCUUUGAGUUUUAAGCUUGCGCUCGUACUCCCCAGGCGGGAUGCUUAACGCGUUAGCUUCUCAGCACAGAGGGUCGAUACUCCAUACUAAUAGCAUCCAUCGUUUACGGCGUGGACUAC